RNAcentral lists this ribosomal RNA (481 nucleotides) under uncultured bacterium. RNAcentral's name for it is "bacterial SSU rRNA". It matches the Rfam family "Bacterial small subunit ribosomal RNA", at positions 328 to 793 of the family's 1533-position model. The record is from RNAcentral.
UGACAGUACUCCUACGGGGAGGCAGCAGUGGGGGAAUAUUGCACAAUCGGGCGCAAGCCUGAUGCAGCCAUGCCGCGUGUGUGAAGAAGGACCUUCGGGGUUGUUAAAGCAACUUUCAGUCGUGAGGAAGGUAGUGUAGUUAAUAGCUGCAUUAUUUGACGUUAGCGACAGAAGAAGCACCGGCUAACUCCGUGCCAGCAGCCGCGGUAAUACGGAGGGUGCGAGCGUUAAUCGGAAUUACUGGGCGUAAAGCGCAUGCAGGUGGUUUGUUAAGUCAGAUGUGAAAGCCCGGGGCUCAACCUCGGAAUAGCAUUUGAAACUGGCAGACUAGAGUACUGUAGAGGGGGGUAGGAAUUUCAGGUGUAGCGGUGAAAUGCGUAGAGAUCUGAAGGAAUACCGGUGGCGAAGGCGGCCCCCUGGACAGAUACUGACACUCAGAUGCGAAAGCGUGGGGAGCAAACAGGAUUAGAUACCCUGGUAG